RNAcentral lists this ribosomal RNA (372 nucleotides) under uncultured organism. RNAcentral describes it as "bacterial SSU rRNA". It matches the Rfam family "Bacterial small subunit ribosomal RNA", at positions 526 to 896 of the family's 1533-position model. The record is from RNAcentral.
CGGAGGGUGCGAGCGUUGUCCGGAAUCACUGGGCGUAAAGGGCGCGUAGGCGGUCUGCUAAGCGUGCGGUGAAAGCCUGGGGCUCAACCCCAGGUCUGCCGUGCGAACUGGUGGACUGGAGCACUGUAGAGGCAGGUGGAAUUCCGGGUGUAGCGGUGGAAUGCGUAGAGAUCCGGAAGAACACCGGUGGCGAAGGCGGCCUGCUGGGCAGUUGCUGACGCUGAGGCGCGACAGCGUGGGGAGCAAACAGGAUUAGAUACCCUGGUAGUCCACGCCGUAAACGAUGGGAACUAGGUGCUUGGGGGAGCGACCCCCCGAGUGCCGGCGCUAACGCAUUAAGUUCCCCGCCUGGGGAGUACGGCCGCAAGGCUG